GUCAGCAAUCGAAAUAAUUCCAUAAAUGUGUUUGUUGAGUGAUUUCUGGGUCGUGACGAAACGUGCUUAUUCAAGCUUCAAUUCAAUUCGAACACAUACAAUAUUUCGUAAAAAUAUGUUCAUCAGUUCCGAAGAUAACACAUCAUAAAUCGGUCCCUCGGGAGCAGCUGAACUCAGAGCAAGAGAAAUCAGAGAACCAAACAGAGAGCGAGCGCGGACGUUGCAGCUGGAGCAUGACUUCCCCAAAAAUAACAGCAGACAAGUCAGCAUCGAACGCCUCGGUGUCGAAGCAGGACUCAGCCGAAGGCAGCAACGGUAAUGCACCGGGAACUAGCACCAUUAGUGUUCCGGUCGUCGAGAGUAUACGAGAAGCGGUUCCAAAUGGAUUUUUCAGCUGGUUGAAGGUCUUCCGCUUCGCAAAUCUGAUGAUCAAACAAGGAUGCUAAGCUAGAAAUCCACUCUUCCGGCGAAAUGUCGAAUAUUUCUAUUUAUGAGUAGAAAAGCAUUGUUGGAAGAUUAGCACCCAAAUUCGCUAGGGCUAUGUCUCCGUUUUAACCAUAAGUAGCCAUUAUGAAUUUGAUUCUUUGAAAGAUAAACACCACAAAGUUUAUAAAACAUGUUUGCUGGAUUUACAAAUUCUAUCGUCAAUAAAUUUUACGGGCAAUAAGUAAACAGUUGCAAA
This is an RNA transcript of Toxorhynchites rutilus septentrionalis, 682 nucleotides long. RefSeq lists it as uncharacterized. The transcript has 2 exons. The record is from RefSeq and is a predicted model, not a curated record. NCBI's taxonomy places the organism in Eukaryota, Metazoa, Arthropoda, Insecta, Diptera, Culicidae.